GGGGAUGUAGCUCAGUGGUAAAGUGCUUACCUAGCAAGCACGAGGUCCCUGGGUUCAAUCUCCAGCGCCACA
Molecule: transfer RNA, 72 nt
Filed under: Marmota monax (woodchuck)
Lineage: Eukaryota; Metazoa; Chordata; Mammalia; Rodentia; Sciuridae
Description: tRNA.Ala
Source: RNAcentral